Molecule: ribosomal RNA, 497 nt
Filed under: uncultured bacterium
Lineage: Bacteria
Description: partial 16S ribosomal RNA
Rfam family: Bacterial small subunit ribosomal RNA
Source: RNAcentral
GAUGAACGCUGGCGGCGUGCCUAAUACAUGCAAGUCGAGCGAACGGACGAGAAGCUUGCUUCUCUGAUGCUAGCGGCGGACGGGUGAGUAACACGUGGAUAACCUACCUAUAAGACUGGGAUAACUUCGGGAAACCGGAGCUAAUACCGGAUAAUAUUUUGAACCGCAUGGUUCAAAAGUGAAAGACGGUCUUGCUGUCACUUAUAGAUGGAUCCGCGCUGCAUUAGCUAGUUGGUAAGGUAACGGCUUACCAAGGCAACGAUGCAUAGCCGACCUGAGAGGGUGAUCGGCCACACUGGAACUGAGACACGGUCCAGACUCCUACGGGAGGCAGCAGUAGGGAAUCUUCCGCAAUGGGCGAAAGCCUGACGGAGCAACGCCGCGUGAGUGAUGAAGGUCUUCUGAUCGUAAAACUCUGUUAUUAGGGAAGAACAUAUGUGUAAGUACCUGUGCACAUCUUGACGGUACCUAAUCAGAAAGCCACGGCUAACUACGUG